RNAcentral lists this ribosomal RNA (253 nucleotides) under uncultured bacterium. Its description in RNAcentral is "partial 16S ribosomal RNA". It matches the Rfam family "Bacterial small subunit ribosomal RNA", at positions 524 to 776 of the family's 1533-position model. The record is from RNAcentral.
UACGUAGGGUGCAAGCGUUAAUCGGAAUUACUGGGCGUAAAGCGUGCGCAGGCGGUUUUGUAAGUCUGGCGUGAAAUCCCCGGGUUCAACCUGGGAAUUGCGAUGGAGACUGCAAGGCUAGAAUCUGGCAGAGGGGGGUAGAAUUCCACGUGUAGCAGUGAAAUGCGUAGAGAUGUGGAGGAACACCGAUGGCGAAGGCAGCCCCCUGGGUCAAGAUUGACGCUCAUGCACGAAAGCGUGGGGAGCAAACAGG